Molecule: unclassified non-coding RNA, 375 nt
Filed under: soil metagenome
Description: partial contains 5.8S ribosomal RNA, internal transcribed spacer 2, and large subunit ribosomal RNA
Rfam family: 5.8S ribosomal RNA (bases 1-120)
Source: RNAcentral
GAUGAAGAACGUAGCGAAAUGCGAUAAGUAAUGUGAAUUGCAGAAUUCAGUGAAUCAUCGAAUCUUUGAACGCACAUUGCGCCCGCCAGUAUUCUGGCGGGCUUGCCUGUUCGAGCGUCAUUUCAACCCUCAAGACCCCUUCGGGGGACUUGGUGUUGGGGACCGGCACAGGGGCCUGCCUGCUUGUCUUGCAGCGCCCUCGCCGCCCCCGAAAUGAAUUGGCGGCCUCGUCGCGACCUCCCCUGCGUAGUAGCACAACCUCGCAACGGGAACGUGACGGCGGCCACUGCCGUAAAACAACCCCAAUUUUAUUAGAGUUGACCUCGAAUCAGGUAGGAAUACCCGCUGAACUUAAGCAUAUCAAUAAGCGGAGGA